GUGUGACUGCGUACCUUUUGUAUAAUGGGUCAGCGACUUAUAUUCUGUAGCAAGGUUAACCGAAUAGGGGAGCCGAAGGGAAACCGAGUCUUAACUGGGCGUUAAGUUGCAGGGUAUAGACCCGAAACCCGGUGAUCUAGCCAUGGGCAGGUUGAAGGUUGGGUAACACUAACUGGAGGACCGAACCGACUAAUGUUGAAAAAUUAGCGGAUGACUUGUGGCUGGGGGUGAAAGGCCAAUCAAACCGGGAGAUAGCUGGUUCUCCCCGAAAGCUAUUUAGGUAGCGCCUCGUGAAUUCAUCUCCGGGGGUAGAGCACUGUUUCGGCAAGGGGGUCAUCCCGACUUACCAACCCGAUGCAAACUGCGAAUACCGGAGAAUGUUAUCACGGGAGACACACGGCGGGUGCUAACGUCCGUCGUGAAGAGGGAAACAACCCAGACCGCCAGCUAAGGUCCCAAAGUCAUGGUUAAGUGGGAAACGAUGUGGGAAGGCCCAGACAGCCAGGAUGUUGGCUUAGAAGCAGCCAUCAUUUAAAGAAAGCGUAAUAGCUCACUGGUCGAGUCGGCCUGCGCGGAAGAUGUAACGGGGCUAAACCAUGCACCGAAGCUGCGGCAGCGACGCUGAUGCGUUGUUGGGUAGGGGAGCGUUCUGUAAGCCUGCGA
This 663-nucleotide ribosomal RNA is filed under the name Escherichia coli. RNAcentral describes it as "partial 23S ribosomal RNA". It matches the Rfam family "Bacterial large subunit ribosomal RNA", at positions 591 to 1253 of the family's 2925-position model. The record is from RNAcentral. Lineage: Bacteria; Pseudomonadati; Pseudomonadota; Gammaproteobacteria; Enterobacterales; Enterobacteriaceae.